RNAcentral lists this long non-coding RNA (683 nucleotides) under Mytilus galloprovincialis (Mediterranean mussel). Lineage: Eukaryota; Metazoa; Mollusca; Bivalvia; Mytilida; Mytilidae. The record is from RNAcentral.
UGCUUAUGAGUUUAGAUUAAUCUGUCUAUUAUAUUUAUGUGUUAAGAAAGUAAACAAACAUGGCAAUUAUUUUAUUACAAACAUGUAAGUUUACUAUUGGUUUUACCAACCACUGCUGAUACUAAGGGCUUAUAGCUAUUAAGCUUACUAAAAUUUGAUUAUAUUGAAGUUCUCUUUUUGUAUCAGAAUAAGAAUAAGAUAAUUUUUAUGUUCAAAAUAUUAAUAACAGGGCACAUUAAGAGCAUAUUAAUCAAGUACAAUGAUUGAAGUAAUAGAUAUUAUGCAUAUAUAUAGCAAUGGGGCUUAUAAAUUAAUUAUAUUGUGUAUAAUAAUAUCCUUUUUUUUGCAGAAUUUUAAGAUGAAUGAGAAACAAUGGCUACUUCCAAUACAAUAGCACAUUUGAUAAAAUGAAUAAGACACAAGGACUGCACUUGUCAUUCUAAGGAAGAUCAACAAAUGAAACCCAAACAAGGAUAUUAUUUUCAUAUUAUCAGAUUCCUGUACAUUGAGAUAUAAAGAGAAAAUUAAUUUUCCUGAAAAGGCAACUCUUUACUUAUACAUAUAUGUGUGUGACAAAAUGAAUGGAAUCAAGACUGUUUUAACUGUGCUAAAAGGAAUACAAAUUAGAACAAUGUAGAAGUUAAUUGACUGUAUUAAAAAAAAGUGAGAAAAAAAAUUUGCUG